Molecule: long non-coding RNA, 294 nt
Filed under: Prunus persica (peach)
Lineage: Eukaryota; Viridiplantae; Streptophyta; Magnoliopsida; Rosales; Rosaceae
Description: long non-coding RNA (PPER_LNC005453)
Source: RNAcentral
UCGUUGUCUUGACCUUGCCAAAUAAUUUAUUUGUUUACAAAGUCAAACAGACAUAGAACUCAAUUUUCAAUAUAGGGCUAAGUCAAUGGAACCAUCCGAGGUGACACACUUGCUCGCUCCUACCUUUUGCUCUUUAUAUUCUAAUUUCAAAUAUUAUAAUAAACAUGUCACGUUCUUCUAAUUCAAGAAGAAAAAAAUUGAAUUUUAUAAUAACACAAAUUUAAUUGGCCCUGGAAAAAAAAAAUUAAAAAAAGAGUAAAAUUUAAUUGGACCUCUACCCUUUAGUUAUUGUCU